RNAcentral lists this unclassified non-coding RNA (183 nucleotides) under rhizosphere metagenome. Its description in RNAcentral is "partial ribosomal RNA internal transcribed spacer region". The record is from RNAcentral.
GUGUUCAUGCCCUCACGGGUAGAUCUCCCACCCUUGAAUAUAUUACCUUUGUUGCUUUGGCGGGCCGCAUCGUCCUCCGGCCCCGGCUGGGGAGUGCCCGCCAGAGGACCCCAAACUCUUUUGUUAAUGUCGUCUGAGUACUAUAUAAUAGUUAAAACUUUCAACAACGGAUCUCUUGGCUCU